RNAcentral lists this transfer RNA (77 nucleotides) under Bradyrhizobium sp. RNAcentral describes it as "tRNA-Pro". It matches the Rfam family "tRNA". From Rfam's summary of the family: Transfer RNA (tRNA) molecules are approximately 80 nucleotides in length. Their secondary structure includes four short double-helical elements and three loops (D, anti-codon, and T loops). Lineage: Bacteria; Pseudomonadati; Pseudomonadota; Alphaproteobacteria; Hyphomicrobiales; Nitrobacteraceae. RNAcentral also lists the same sequence under 203 other names. The record is from RNAcentral.
CGGAGUGUAGCGCAGUCUGGUAGCGCACCUCGUUCGGGACGAGGGGGUCGCAGGUUCAAAUCCUGCCACUCCGACCA